UAAGUGACUAAGCGUACACGGUGGAUGCCUUGGCAGUCAGAGGCGAUGAAAGACGUAGUAACUUGCGAUAAGCCCAGAUUAGGUAGUAACAACCAUUUGAGUCUGGGAUUUCUGAAUGGGGAAACCCACGUGCAUAAGCACGUAUCCUUACCUGAAUACAUAGGGUAAGGAGGCGAACCGGGGGAACUGAAACAUCUAAGUACCCCGAGGAAAAGAAAUCAACCGAGAUUCCGAAAGUAGCGGCGAGCGAAAUUGGACUAGCCCUUAAGCUUUACACGCGUUAGACGAACGGUCUGGAAAGUCCGACGAUACAGGGUGAUAGUCCCGUAGUUGACGACGUGUGUUCAGUGAAAUCGAGUAAGGCGGGACACGUGAUAUCCUGUCUGAAUAUGGGGGGACCAUCCUCCAAGGCUAAAUACUACUGACUGACCGAUAGUGAACCAGUACCGUGAGGGAAAGGCGAAAAGAACCCCUGUGAGGGGAGUGAAAUAGAACCUGAAACCGUGUACGUACAAGCAGUAGGAGCAGGCUUUGUCCUGUGACUGCGUACCUUUUGUAUAAUGGGUCAGCGACUUAUAUUCAGUGGCAAGGUUAACCAUCUAGGGGAGCCGUAGGGAAACCGAGUCUUAACUGGGCGUUCAGUCUCUGGAUAUAGACCCGAAACCAGGUGAUCUAGCCAUGGGCAGGUUGAAGGUUGAGUAACAUCAACUGGAGGACCGAACCGACUAAUGUUGAAAAAUUAGCGGAUGACUUGUGGCUAGGGGUGAAAGGCCAAUCAAACCUGGAGAUAGCUGGUUCUCCCCGAAAGCUAUUUAGGUAGCGCCUCGGACGAAUACUACUGGGGGUAGAGCACUGUUAAGGCUAGGGGGUCAUCCCGACUUACCAACCCUUUGCAAACUCCGAAUACCAGUAAGUACUAUCCGGGAGACACACGGCGGGUGCUAACGUCCGUCGUGGAGAGGGAAACAACCCAGACCGCCAGCUAAGGUCCCAAAUUACUACUAAGUGGGAAACGAUGUGGGAAGGCUCAGACAGCCAGGAUGUUGGCUUAGAAGCAGCCAUCAUUUAAAGAAAGCGUAAUAGCUCACUGGUCGAGUCGGCCUGCGCGGAAGAUGUAACGGGGCUAAGUAGUAAACCGAAGCUGCGGCAAUGUGCUUUUGCACAUUGGGUAGGGGAGCGUUCUGUAAGCGGUUGAAGGUGUGUGGUAACGCAUGCUGGACGUAUCAGAAGUGCGAAUGCUGACAUGAGUAACGAUAAAGGGGGUGAAAAACCUCCUCGCCGGAAGACCAAGGGUUCCUGUCCAACGUUAAUCGGGGCAGGGUAAGUCGACCCCUAAGGCGAGGCCGAAAGGCGUAGUCGAUGGGAAACGGGUUAAUAUUCCCGUACUUCUUACAAUUGCGAUGGGGGGACGGAGAAGGCUAGGUGGGCCUGGCGACGGUUGUCCAGGUUCAAGUGCGUAGGCUUAAGAGUUAGGUAAAUCCGGCUCUUUUUAAGGCUGAGACACGACGUCGAGCUACUACGGUAGUGAAGUCAUUGAUGCCAUGCUUCCAGGAAAAGCCUCUAAGCUUCAGAUUGUAAGGAAUCGUACCCCAAACCGACACAGGUGGUCGGGUAGAGAAUACCAAGGCGCUUGAGAGAACUCGGGUGAAGGAACUAGGCAAAAUGGUACCGUAACUUCGGGAGAAGGUACGCUCUUGAUGGUGAAGUCCCUCGCGGAUGGAGCUGACGAGAGUCGCAGAUACCAGGUGGCUGCAACUGUUUAUUAAAAACACAGCACUGUGCAAAAUCGUAAGAUGACGUAUACGGUGUGACGCCUGCCCGGUGCCGGAAGGUUAAUUGAUGGGGUUAGACUUCGGUCGAAGCUCUUGAUCGAAGCCCCGGUAAACGGCGGCCGUAACUAUAACGGUCCUAAGGUAGCGAAAUUCCUUGUCGGGUAAGUUCCGACCUGCACGAAUGGCGUAAUGAUGGCCACGCUGUCUCCACCCGAGACUCAGUGAAAUUGAAAUCGCUGUGAAGAUGCAGUGUACCCGCGGCUAGACGGAAAGACCCCGUGAACCUUUACUACAGCUUGGCACUGAACAUUGACCCUACAUGUGUAGGAUAGGUGGGAGGCUUUGAAGCACGUACGCCAGUAUGUGUGGAGCCGUCCUUGAAAUACCACCCUUGUAGUGUUGAUGUUCUAACGUCGACCCCUUAUCGGGGUUGCGGACAGUGCCUGGUGGGUAGUUUGACUGGGGCGGUCUCCUCCCAAAGAGUAACGGAGGAGCACGAAGGUGGGCUAAUCACGGUUGGACAUCGUGAGGUUAGUGCAAUGGCAUAAGCCCGCUUGACUGCGAGAAUGACAAUUCGAGCAGGUGCGAAAGCAGGUCAUAGUGAUCCGGUGGUUCUGAAUGGAAGGGCCAUCGCUCAACGGAUAAAAGGUACUCCGGGGAUAACAGGCUGAUACCGCCCAAGAGUUCAUAUCGACGGCGGUGUUUGGCACCUCGAUGUCGGCUCAUCACAUCCUGGGGCUGAAGUCGGUCCCAAGGGUAUGGCUGUUCGCCAUUUAAAGUGGUACGCGAGCUGGGUUUAGAACGUCGUGAGACAGUUCGGUCCCUAUCUGCCGUGGGCGUUGGAAGAUUGAAGGGGGCUGCUCCUAGUACGAGAGGACCGGAGUGGACGAACCUCUGGUGUUCGGGUUGUGUCGCCAGACGCAUUGCCCGGUAGCUAAGUUCGGAAUCGAUAACCGCUGAAAGCAUCUAAGCGGGAAGCGAGCCCUGAGAUGAGUCUUCCCUGAUACUUUAAGUAUCCUAAAGGGUUGUCGGAGACUACGACGUUGAUAGGUCAGGUGUGUAAGUGCUGUGAGGCAUUGAGCUAACUGAUACUAAUUGCCCGUGAGGCUUAACCA
Molecule: ribosomal RNA, 2887 nt
Filed under: Vibrio parahaemolyticus VP2007-095
Lineage: Bacteria; Pseudomonadati; Pseudomonadota; Gammaproteobacteria; Vibrionales; Vibrionaceae
Description: bacterial LSU rRNA
Rfam family: Bacterial large subunit ribosomal RNA
Source: RNAcentral